RNAcentral lists this ribosomal RNA (427 nucleotides) under uncultured bacterium. RNAcentral's name for it is "partial 16S ribosomal RNA". It matches the Rfam family "Bacterial small subunit ribosomal RNA", at positions 355 to 774 of the family's 1533-position model. The record is from RNAcentral.
UGGGGAAUAUUGGACAAUGGGCGCAAGCCUGAUCCAGCCAUACCGCGUGGGUGAAGAAGGCCUUCGGGUUGUAAAGCCCUUUUGUUGGGAAAGAAAUCCAGCCGGCUAAUACCUGGUUGGGAUGACGGUACCCAAAGAAUAAGCACCGGCUAACUUCGUGCCAGCAGCCGCGGUAAUACGAAGGGUGCAAGCGUUACUCGGAAUUACUGGGCGUAAAGCGUGCGUAGGUGGUUAUUUAAGUCCGUUGUGAAAGCCCUGGGCUCAACCUGGGAACUGCAGUGGAUACUGGAUGACUAGAAUGUGGUAGAGGGUAGCGGAAUUCCUGGUGGAGCAGUGAAAUGCGUAGAGAUCAGGAGGAACAUCCAUGGCGAAGGCAGCUACCUGGACCAACAUUGACACUGAGGCACGAAAGCGUGGGGAGCAAACA